Molecule: long non-coding RNA, 229 nt
Organism: Puntigrus tetrazona (Sumatra barb)
Lineage: Eukaryota; Metazoa; Chordata; Actinopteri; Cypriniformes; Cyprinidae
Exons: 3
Source: RefSeq, a predicted model, not a curated record
CAGAAAGAAAAGUGGGAGGAAAACUAGGAUCAUGUGACUCUGUUGUAACUCAAACCAAUAUAUUUAAACCAGGAACAGCAUUCAUUCAAACCUUCUCAAACAACAGCAGAAAGAAUCACAAAAAUCGCUUGACAUGAAGAUGAGAGUUUUCUACAAGAGUCUGCUGUUUCUGCUGGUUUGGACAAAGACAGGAGGAGAAGUGAACAUAGCGACACAGGGCACAGCCGAU